CACUUCUCCGCCUUUUGUCUAAGAUCAAGUGUAGUA
This 36-nucleotide small nuclear RNA is filed under the name Cervus elaphus hippelaphus. The record is from RNAcentral. Lineage: Eukaryota; Metazoa; Chordata; Mammalia; Artiodactyla; Cervidae.